This 362-nucleotide small RNA is filed under the name Bacillota bacterium. RNAcentral's name for it is "transfer-messenger RNA". It matches the Rfam family "transfer-messenger RNA". Rfam says of the family: Bacterial tmRNA, also known as 10Sa RNA or SsrA, is named for its dual tRNA and mRNA-like properties. Lineage: Bacteria; Bacillati; Bacillota. The record is from RNAcentral.
GGGGGCGUACAGGUUUCGACAGGGAUUUGGCGCAGAUUUAAGCGAGCCGUGUUUCUUCAGCCUGGGGUACACGUAAAAGAACUGGGCUACUAAAUAUAAACGCAAAAAACGAUUACGUUUUAGCUGCCUAAUAUAGCAGCCACCAUCAAGAGGCCUUUCAUCAUUGCCGCUUCUUGAAACGGUAACCUUUGCAAUGGUCGAUUAGUAAGCUCGUCCUAGCUUACUAUGGUUUUAAGGACUAGUCUUUCUGUUCAUUUGUCAUUUUAUUUGCAGAAAGGCGAAACCUUUUAAAAUGACUGCGCUCGGAGAAAGGAUCUGUAAAGGAUUUUUGGACGUGGGUUCGAUUCCCACCGCCUCCACCA